Molecule: long non-coding RNA, 724 nt
Organism: Eurytemora carolleeae
Lineage: Eukaryota; Metazoa; Arthropoda; Copepoda; Calanoida; Temoridae
Exons: 3
Source: RefSeq, a predicted model, not a curated record
AGUUCAAACAACUUUUCGCCGUACCACAGUUUUCUAGAUUGAAACCUCGUUACUGAAAUAUACUUUUCAAGAAGUGUGUCCGGUAGAAGAGAGUGUUUUCCUUGCCAACUUGCCUUAUUUCCCUCUUUCGAGUAUUAUCCCUUUUGUUCAGCUCACAACAGUACAUUCUAUACUACAUAAAGUAUAUUCUGUAGUACAUACAGUACAUUCUAUACUACAUGCAGUACAUUCUAUACAACAUUCAGUAUACUCUGUAGUACAUACAGUACAUUCUAUACUACAUACAGUAUAUUCUGUAGUACAUACAGUACAUUCUAUACUACAUACAGUACAUUCUUUAGUACAUAAAUUACAUUCUUUACAUCUAAUACCUCUAACGGUACAUAUUGAUUAUUAAUACACUUUCUCAAAUUCACUGAUUAAUAAAUAAGGCAAAUCGGUCCAGGGCUUCAUGAGUUAUGAUUAGACAUACAAACAAACAGAGAUUACUACUUUAUAAGUAGAUCAUGUAUACAUCGGUAUAUGUGAAUGAUACUAUUCAAUAGUUGUGAUGCUUCCAUAACUUACACUACACAUGCAGACUAUACCUUUAUGGACAAUCUUGAACCUCUGAUUGAAAGAUGGAUGGGUCCUGUAUCCCUAGCAGUCUACGCCCCUGGAGAAGAUUUUAUGAAUUCAAUCAAGACAAUUCUGUACUUCAGGUCGCUAUAUUGGUGUUUUAUCU